UGGUUCUGGCAUCGAUGAAGAACGCAGCGAAAUGCGAUAAGUAAUGUGAAUUGCAGAAUUCAGUGAAUCAUCGAAUCUUUGAACGCACAUUGCGCCCAUUAGUAUUCUAGUGGGCAUGCCUGUUCGAGCGUCAUUUCAACCCUUAAGCCUUUGUUGCUUAGUGUUGGGGGCCUACUAUGCUUGUAGCCCCUGAAAGUUAGUGGCAGAGUCAGUUCACACUCUAGACGUAGUAAUGUAUUUUAUCUCGCCUAUAAGUUGCACUGGUCCCUUGCCAUAAAACACCCCUAAUUUUUAAAAGGUUGACCUCGAAUCAGGUAGGAAUACCCGCUGA
This 331-nucleotide unclassified non-coding RNA is filed under the name uncultured fungus. RNAcentral describes it as "partial contains 5.8S ribosomal RNA and internal transcribed spacer 2". The stretch from base 1 to 133 matches the Rfam family "5.8S ribosomal RNA", at positions 22 to 154 of the family's 154-position model. Lineage: Eukaryota; Fungi. The record is from RNAcentral.